GGCCUCAUUUUUCCUUGUUCGGGGUUUGAGGUGCCACCUUACAAAAGGAUGGGUGUACGCUCUCUUUUCAGAAUGUGGUUCAUCUCAAAGCCCUUUACACUUUGGAGCCAGGCCUGUUCAAUUUUACAAAUAACACGUUUUGCUUGUAGUCAGGGUGCUGUGACAACAUGAAGAGUUCGAGCUACCUCCCAGGAUGAGUGCAGGUUUUCCUGGUGACAAAUCUCAGGCAUUCAAAGGUUAGUUAGAUUAUUUUGGAUGGGGUUUGUUCACUAGGUUUGCUGUUUCUAUGAUGAAUCAAACUAGCUCACUAUGACUGCUAAUGAAAACACAGGAACACCUGAGAAACCAAAGGGUAGUGUGGGGGCAAGGGCCUUAUAUCCAGCCUUUUCAAGGUUUGUUAUUUUUCUCCAGGUUCUGUUAGCAGUGCCAUACUUGUGGGUUUACAGAGAUGGUGUGUCUGGCUGAGAACAAAGGAGCCGUACCAGGUAUAUGUCUUAGUAAUGCUUUUUGUAGUAUAAGGUUGAAUAUAUAAUACUUAGACCUAGUGAAUUCCUGCUCACCCUGAUGAACUGAAUACCGCCCCAGUCUGAUAGCUGUGGAGAAAGGUAUUUUCUGAGUUGUGAGCUCAUUUUGGAUCAAGUAGGAAAUUUUUUAUGCUAAUACUAGCAUAGUAUUAAUACUAGCAUAAGCUUUUGUAAAAGAAGCUUAAGCAUUAAUGGCCCAAAUUGUUUGCUAUUUUGUAGGAAAGUUGAAGCAUAUCUUCAUUUUCAAGUCCAGGCUAAAAUAAGGUCUGAGGAAAAGAAUGAGCUGCGUGUGAAGGAUAGGAACAGAAAUCAUGAAAGAUCUGUUUGUCCAGGCCAGUGUUUCACCAUAAGAGAUCACUUUAAAAUAAAUGAUGAAAUAAUUCUUUGCAAUUGCAAAUUUACCUUCCUUGCUUACCACAUUGUUAACUGUAGGAGCUGAUACCUGGUUCUUCCACUGUUAACUUGUACUCUGUGUUUGUUCUAGCAAUAAAUGCUCUUUAUGCUAUUUA
RNAcentral lists this long non-coding RNA (1033 nucleotides) under Mus musculus (house mouse). Lineage: Eukaryota; Metazoa; Chordata; Mammalia; Rodentia; Muridae. The record is from RNAcentral.